This 253-nucleotide ribosomal RNA is filed under the name uncultured bacterium. RNAcentral describes it as "partial 16S ribosomal RNA". It matches the Rfam family "Bacterial small subunit ribosomal RNA", at positions 524 to 776 of the family's 1533-position model. The record is from RNAcentral.
UACGGGGGGGGCAAGCGUUGUUCGGAAUUACUGGGCGUAAAGCGCGGGCAGGCGGUCUGACAAGUCUGAUGUGAAAUCUCCGGGCUUAACCGGGAGAGGCCAUUGGAAACUGACAGGCUGGAGGGCAGUAGAGGUAGGCGGAAUUCCGGGUGGAGUGGUGAAAUGCGUAGAGAUCCGGAGGAACACCAGAGGCGAAGGCGGCCUACUGGGCUGCACCUGACGCUGAGCCGCGAAAGCCAGGGGAGCGAACGGG